UGGGAGAAGUGGUCAGGCCUCACGAAG
RNAcentral lists this non-coding RNA (27 nucleotides) under Rattus norvegicus (Norway rat). The record is from RNAcentral. Lineage: Eukaryota; Metazoa; Chordata; Mammalia; Rodentia; Muridae.